Molecule: ribosomal RNA, 543 nt
Filed under: uncultured haloarchaeon
Lineage: Archaea; Methanobacteriati; Methanobacteriota; Halobacteria; Halobacteriales; Halobacteriaceae
Description: partial 16S ribosomal RNA
Rfam family: Archaeal small subunit ribosomal RNA
Source: RNAcentral
UGUUCACGAUGAUAUAGGUCCGAAGGCAGUGCGGGCGACGAAUCAUAGUCCGAUAUAGGGCGUCCGUAACAGGAAUUGGCGGGGGAGCACAGCCCUGGGCAGACAGGUGCCAUCCUCCGCGGAACUACCGCUGACUUUUUUUAUUACUGAUAUUAUUGGGUGAAAAAUACCUACUUCACCUUUCAAGGUUCAUCGGGAAAGCCCCCAGCUAAACUGGCCACCGUUCUGGGAAAACAACGUGGCCUGGCACCGUAAGGUUCGAGGGGUACGUUCCGGGUAGGAGUAUAAUCCCGUAUUCCUGGACCGACCCCAUUGGCCAACGUCCCCCCGAAACCGGUUUUUACCUUGAGGGUUUAAGUUAGGGUCUCCACCGGUUUAGUUCCCCGGUUAUUCCUAGCUGCACACAUUCCUCCUAGGUGUGACACAGGCUACGAGCUUGGAUUGUGCCUUCUCGAAGCCUCGAAGCAAGCUACCUGGAAAGUACCUCCCCACGGAUCUACUUAAAGGAGUGUGGCGGCGACCACCCCAGCAUUUCCUUUUUUU